AGUAACGCGUGGAUAACCUGCCUCACACUGGGGGAUAACAGUUAGAAAUGACUGCUAAUACCGCAUAAGCGCACAGUACCGCAUGGUACGGUGUGAAAAACUCCGGUGGUAUGAGAUGGACCCGCGUCUGAUUAGCUAGUUGGUGAGGUAACGGCCCACCAAGGCAACGAUCAGUAGCCGACCUGAGAGGGUGACCGGCCACAUUGGGACUGAGACACGGCCCAG
This 225-nucleotide ribosomal RNA is filed under the name uncultured bacterium. Its description in RNAcentral is "partial 16S ribosomal RNA". It matches the Rfam family "Bacterial small subunit ribosomal RNA", at positions 109 to 334 of the family's 1533-position model. The record is from RNAcentral.